AUAUCGAAUUCCAAUAGAUAAGGAACUCGCAAGAAAUCGAGCUUUCUAUCGGCGCUUUCCAGUCCUUAAAGAGGGGCCCAAGCUAUGCUGGCGAUCACGUCGCUUAUAACUUGGCUUAAACGACGCUCAACUCGGUUUUAAUUGCACGCACAAAACGUGCGCAGCCACAUCGAAAGUUAGCGCCAGACAUGGAGCUGACAUUUCCAAGAAUUAUUUAACUAUGUACUAGUAAAAGUCCCCUAAAGGCAAAGGGCAUAUGACAGACCCAUUCAAAUUGCUAAAUAUAAUUUAAUCGCAGCUGAGAUCAAGAUUUUUUGAGAGCGCAUUUAAUAAUCCACAGCUAUAAAACGAAGCUGUUUUUAGAAAGCCAUAUAAAUGUUAUUCUUAGAAUUAAACUCCAAUAAGACGUGCCAUGCCAUAUAUUCGCAAAUAUAUAUGUACAUAUGUUUAUUUAUAUAUGAAUAUGCAGAUAUGUAUAUCCGUAUAUACUAUAUAAGCAUUGUUCUUAUGGAUUGUGAUUAUCUAGUAGUUCCGUUCGAAAUAUUUCUGCUCGAUUUCAGCAAGUAAAUUUUAAAGAAUUUUACUACUGUUCAAUCUUAGCGGAUGGCUAGUAUAUCAACUUCUCAGGCAACAGGCAUACAAAUCGAAAUUUUCAGACUGUAGAAGCUACCGAGAUAUAUUUCAUCUGAAUAAUUGUAAACAGUUAAUCAUUUAUGAAGAUGUUAAGCGAUGAUAAACAAGCCAUCUGAAGUUAGCUCUGAAACUGAUGCUUCAUGUACUUGAGUUCAUGCCCCAUCUGGAUAGGCAAUGUAGACACACAGUUAUACCCUAGACGUUGAUGAAACCCACCAAUAAAGCUGUCACAUCAAGUCUGUCCGAAGCAUGUGGCCAGGCAAUAACAAGUUGAUUACUAAGCAUGCUCACGCCUUUACCUGAGAUUGAUCUUAUCCGCCGGUGUGGAUCGGCACUGCGCGAACUUGAACUAAGCGCAAUUGCGAGCCGUGCUGCAAUUAUUUCGCUUCACUCGGAUGCACAAUGUUUAUAGUUUCAGCUUGAAGAAAAACGUAUUAAAAACAAAAUAAAAUAAAGAAAACAAAAGACAA
Long non-coding RNA from Drosophila mojavensis, 1103 nucleotides. RefSeq lists it as uncharacterized. NCBI's taxonomy places the organism in Eukaryota, Metazoa, Arthropoda, Insecta, Diptera, Drosophilidae. The transcript has 2 exons. The record is from RefSeq and is a predicted model, not a curated record.